UCAAGCGAAAAAGAGGUUUAUGGCGGAUGCCUGGGAGCUGCGAGGCGAAGAAGGUCGUGACAAGCUGCGAAAAGCCGGGGGGAGGAGCACAUAUCCUGCGAUCCCCGGAUUACCGAAUGGGGUAACCCGCAUGAAGCGAUUCAUGAACCGCGCGGAUGAAUCAAAUAGUCCGGCGGAGCCAAACUGAGUGAAGUGAACCAUCUAAGUAACUCGGGAAAAGAAAUCAAAAUGAGAUUCCCGGAGUAGCGGCGAGCGAAACGGGAGGAGCCCAAACCACAUAGAGUGGGGUUGUAGGGCCGCACGGGGAUGACCCGGGAAGUUGAGAGAAAACCGUAAUAUAGCAGAAAGGUCUGGGAAGGCCUGUCAGAGAGCGUGAGAGCCGCGUAAGCGAAAUAUUGCGGACUUCCUGGUGCGGUACCUGAGUAGGGCGGGGCACGUGGAACCCUGCCUGAAUCCGGGUCGACCACGAUCCAAGGCUGAAUACUCCGCAGCUACCGAUAGCGGACAAGUACCGUGAGGGAAAGGCGAAAAGAACCCCUGCGAGGGGAGUGAAACAGAACCUGAAACCAUAAACCGACAAGAUGUUGCAGCCCUGUAAGGGGUGGCAGCGUGCCUUUUGUAGAAUGAGCCUGCGAGUUGCGUUAUGCAGCGAGGUUAAGCAUUUGGAGAUGCGGAGCCGGAGCGAAAGCGAGUGUGAACAGCGCGAAUAAGUUGCAUGACGCAGACCCGAAGCCAAGGUGAUCUAGUUAUGGGCAGGCUGAAGCUCAGGUAAAACUGAGUGGAGGGCCGAACAGUAAUCUGUUAAAAAAGGUAGUGAUGACCUGUGACUAGGAGUGAAAGGCUAAACAAACCUGGAAAUAGCUGGCUCUCCCCGAAAUGCCUUUAGGGACAGCCUCAUACGGAUAUUGGCGGAGGUAAAGCACUGGAUGGACUAGGGGGCGUCACUGCCUACCAAACCCAAUCAAACUCUGAAUGCCGUCAAUCAAUAUAUGGGAGUGAGACUGCGUGCGACAAGGUUCGUAGUCGAGAGGGAAACAGCCCGGACCGUCGACUAAGGUCCCGAAAUACCGCUGAGUGUGAAAUGAAGUGUAAAUGCAAAGACAGCCAGGAGGUUGGCUCAGAAGCAGCCAUUCCUUGAAAGAGUGCGUAACAGCUCACUGGUCGAGCAUUUAUGCACAGAUAAUGUAACGGGGCUAAGCGGUAUACCGAAGUUGCGGAUCUGACAUGUAAGUGUCAGGUGGUAGGGGAGCAUUCCUUGGGCCGGAGAAGGUGUGAUGCGAGUCAUGCUGGAGGCAGAGGAAGAGAGAAUGCAGGUAUAAGUAACGAAAAGACGGGUGGGAUUCCCGUCCGCCGAAAACCUAAGGUUUCCUGAGUAAAGGCAAUCUGCUCAGGGUAAGUCGGCCCCUAAGACGAGGGCGAAAGCCGUAGCCGAUGGGAAUCCGGUUCAUAAUCCGGAACCUGGAACAGUUUCGAAGGCAGGACGCAUGAGGUGAAAUCCGGCCGGGCGACGGUUGUCCCGGUCGAAGCAGUGAGGUGAAGAGAGGAUGGAUAAAAGAAUCCUUGAGCUGAGCUGUGACAGCGAGCGGAGAGAAAGUUGAAGCGAAGCGGAUGUAAUCAGGGUGCCGGGAAACACUGUCUAAGGUCAGGCUGUUUCGGACCGUACCGCAAACCGACACAGGUAGGAAGGAUGAGUAAUCUAAGGCGCACGAGAGAACUCGCGUUAAGGAACUCGGCAAAAUGCACACGUAACUUCGGAAGAAGUGUGGCCGCGAUUGGUAAUAAGAUAUGCGGUGGCACAGAGCAGGCCCAGGCGACUGUUUAUCAAAAACACAGCCAUCUGCGAACCAGCAAUGGGACGUAUAGGUGGUGACACCUGCCCGGUGCCGGAAGGUUAAGAGGAGAGGUCAGCCGCAAGGUGAAGCUUUGAAUCGAAGCCCCGGUAAACGGCGGCCGUAACUAUAACGGUAAAUUCCUUGUCGGGUAAGUUCCGACCCGCACGAAUGGUGUAACGAUUCUGGGCACUGUCUCGACGCGAGACUCGGUGAAAUUUAUAUACCGGUAAAGAAGCCGGUUAAUUACAGUUAGACGGAAAGACCCCGUGAACCUUCACCGUAACUUACCGUUGGGUCUUGGUUUAUAAUGUGUAGAAUAGGCGGGAGACAGCGAGGCGUGGCCGUCAGGCUGCGCGGAGUCGUAAAGUGAAAUACCGCCCUUUAUGAACUAGGAUUCUAACCCGUGCCAUGAAGCUGGUGCGGGGACAACGGUAGGCAGGCGGUUUGACUGGGGCGGUCGCCUCCUAAAGAGUAACGGAGGUGCGCGAAGGUCUCCUCGCGCCGGUUGGAAAUCGGCGUACGAGUGUAAAGGCACAAGGAGGCUUGACUGCGAGACUGACAGGUCGAGCAGGUACGA
RNAcentral lists this ribosomal RNA (2409 nucleotides) under Clostridiales bacterium Firm_16. Its description in RNAcentral is "bacterial LSU rRNA". It matches the Rfam family "Bacterial large subunit ribosomal RNA", at positions 1 to 2402 of the family's 2925-position model. Lineage: Bacteria; Bacillati; Bacillota; Clostridia; Eubacteriales. The record is from RNAcentral.